AACAGGAUUAGAUACCCUGGUAGUCCACGCCGUAAACGAUGAGUGCUAGGUGUUGGGGGGUUCCCCCUCAGUGCCGAAGGUAACCCAUUAAGCACUCCGCCUGGGGAGUACGGCCGCAAGGCUGAAACUCAAAGGAAUUGACGGGGGCCCGCACAAGUGGUGGAGCAUGUGGUUUAAUUCGAAGCAACGCGAAGAACCUUACCAGGGCUUGACAUCCCGCUGACCGCUCCAGAGAUGGAGCUUCCCUUCGGGGCAGCGGUGACAGGUGGUGCAUGGUUGUCGUCAGCUCGUGUCGUGAGAUGUUGGGUUCAGUCCCGCAACGAGCGCAACCCUUACCGCCAGUUGCCAGCAUUUCGGAUGGGGACUCUGGCGAGACAGCCGGUGAAAGCCGGAGGAAGGUGGGGAUGACGUCAAAUCAUCAUGCCCCUUAUGUCCUGGGCUACACACGUGCUACAAUGGCCAGUACAAAGGGAAGCGAACCCGCGAGGGGGGGCCAAUCCCAAAAAACUGGUCUCAGUUCGGAUCGCAGGCUGCAACUCGCCUGCGUGAAGCCGGAAUCGCUAGUAAUCGCGGAUCAGCAUGCCGCGGUGAAUACGCUCCCGGGCCUUGUACACACCGCCCGUCACACCACGAGAGUUUGCAACACCCGAAGUCGGUGAGGCAACCCUUCUGGGAGCCAGCCGCCGAAGGUGGGGCAGAUGAUUGGGGUGAAGUCGUAACAAGGUAACC
Molecule: ribosomal RNA, 729 nt
Filed under: uncultured bacterium
Lineage: Bacteria
Description: bacterial SSU rRNA
Rfam family: Bacterial small subunit ribosomal RNA
Source: RNAcentral